This 439-nucleotide ribosomal RNA is filed under the name uncultured bacterium. RNAcentral's name for it is "bacterial SSU rRNA". It matches the Rfam family "Bacterial small subunit ribosomal RNA", at positions 29 to 480 of the family's 1533-position model. The record is from RNAcentral.
AUUGAACGCUGGCGGCAUGCUUUACACAUGCAAGUCGAACGGUAACAGGCCUUCGGGUGCUGACGAGUGGCGAACGGGUGAGUAAUGCAUCGGAACGUGCCCAAUCGUGGGGGAUAACGUAGCGAAAGUUACGCUAAUACCGCAUAAGCCCUGAGGGGGAAAGUGGGGGACCGCAAGGCCUCACGCGAAUGGAGCGGCCGAUGUCAGAUUAGCUAGUUGGUGGGGUAAAGGCUCACCAAGGCGACGAUCUGUAGCGGGUCUGAGAGGAUGAUCCGCCACACUGGAACUGAGACACGGUCCAGACUCCUACGGGAGGCAGCAGUGGGGAAUUUUGGACAAUGGGCGCAAGCCUGAUCCAGCCAUGCCGCGUGGGUGACGAAGGCCUCGGUUGUAAGCCCUGUCGGGGGAGGACGGAACCGGCCGUCGUGGCGUAAUAUCC